AGAGAGAGAGAGAAUGUCGACUGAUUCUCACUGAGAAAAAGCAAUAGCUCCAAGAAAGGCGGCGGCGUCCAGCCUCUCAGUGCCAUAGCUGAGCCGAGCCAGCUUUACGCACACACGAGCGCAUCUGUUCGCCAUCAGCACUUUCUACUAAACUCAGUCAGUUGCGACCGUGAGUCAACAGGAGUGGGAAGUGGGACAGGGCUUUUUAAGAGUACUUCUUGAAAACCCAGCUGCAGGAUGCUGUGAUUUUAUAUGGUGACCUAUAUGUGUUGUUUAUGCGCGUGUAUGGAUGGGCCAGAUGCAUAGAGAUUUGUGAUCCCGGGAAACAAACGAGGAGAAAAGCUUUUCUCCUCUGUCUGUCCGUAGAAGUUUGGUUUACCACUACUGUUCCGUCUGGAUGUGAGCCGCAACUUUGCUUUGCUUGGAAAACGUAGGCUUCUCUGCUGGUUUGAAAGCGCUGUUCCUGUUCGUGAGUUCUGGGAUCAAUUUGGCUCGCGUAUUAUUAUUGCUAAAAAAAAAAUCUUCUACUGCAUCCUAUUUGCGUCAUGACUUCUAGCUAUGCACAUGGAAUGGACAGGCAAGCAACGAUAUCAAAUCGUUUGGAGAGCUCGAUUACAUCCAAUCUGGAAAACCUUCAAGCCAAAAAGAACUUCUCCGUGAGCCACCUGUUGGACCUGGAGGAGGCCGGAGAAAGGGUUGGGACCCAGGCGGACGAGAGUGUCGGUGAGGCGGGGAGGAAUAUGCUGGAGUCCCCUGGGCUGACCAGUGGGAGCGACACCACUCAGCAGGAGAAUGAGCAGUUGAAUGCGGAGGAGAAGAAAAAGAGGAAACAGAGAAGGAACAGAACUACAUUCAACAGCAGCCAGUUGCAGGCUCUGGAGAGGGUGUUUGAGAGGACACACUACCCUGACGCCUUCGUCAGAGAGGACCUGGCACGCAGGGUCAACCUCACCGAGGCACGGGUGCAGGUGUGGUUUCAGAAUAGGAGGGCCAAGUUCCGUCGGAAUGAGCGCGCCAUGUUGGCCAGCAAGAACGCCUCGCUCCUCAAGUCCUACUCCGGGGACGUCACGGCCAUAGAGCAGCCCAUCGUACCCCGCCCUGCCCCCCGCCCAAACGAUUACCUGUCAUGGGGUAGUGCCUCUCCUUACAGAAGGGAUGGGGCGAGAUCCAAUGACCCUCGUGAUGAGGUGAUAAUCUGAAAACAAACUGUAUUAAAUCCACUGUUGACCCUUGCGACCUUCUCUGCAAUACAAAACCAAUACCAUGGCAACCUACCCCCCCACAUGUUCCAACCCCAAUACAUCCCAGGGAAUGAACAUGGCUAACAGCAUCGCCAACCUGCGGCUCAAAGCCAAGGAGUACAGCUUGAACCAGGUGCCCACGGUUAACUGAGGAGAGAGGGGGGAGAGAGUGCUUCACGGUGGGGCUGGGGGCAGGAGCAGGGACUCUCUCUCUCUCACGUCUGUCCCACACAGAAAGACAGUCAGACCCCAGCCUGACCCCCACAGGGAUGAUCAAGAUCUGACCACCCUCCAUGGAAUUUUAGCUUGAAGUCUCCUCUCGCUCCAGAGCGUCGUCGCUAUAGUGAUGGACGUGCUUCCUAUACUGUCCUCAUACCUGAAGCAUCAGAUGAGAAAGCAAGUGACGCGGGGGAAAUCUGAGAGGCUGUUUCUGUGAGCUGCCUCUCUCCUGUCCUGAGCAUCGCUGAAAUGUCGCUGUCUGUACCUUCCAAUGAUACCAAAGACAUCGAGACUGAGACUGGAUGCUUCAGUAGUUUCUAUUAUUUCUUUCAAUUUGGUGUUGACUGAAUGAAAGGGUCAUUUCCAAAGAUAUCAAUGGAGAGGUGUUCUCUCAGACCCUGACAAAAUAAAUCGGAUUGUCAGACUGUCAGUGUCCGUCUUAUAGUUUGACUCACGUUCAAGACCACAGUGCCUUGCUGGGGGUGAGGAGGAGACACCAGUAUGGGCUACUUUUCAAAUGGAAUGUCUUUUUAUAAUAGAGCUGAUCAAUAGGAUUAUAACACCAGGGAUGGGAUGAGCAAAUUAACGCUCAGCAACAACAAACAACAACAAGGACUUAUCCAUGCAAAUUGGGAGGUCGCAAACAUUUAUGCAUUUAAAGAAUUUUAGUUUUCACAUACUGUAUCUUUCUAUUUUAUGCCACUGACAAGCAAACUUUUUUUUCCCGACGCAUUCCGAUUCAUGUAAUGGUACACCAUACCGGAAAGGCUAAUGUAACCUAUUUCUGAAUCCAAGACUGUAGUUUCUCUUAAUCUUGGUAUGAUAUCCUUUAUUUGUAACAGAUAAUCAUGUAUAUGAAUAAAAUACACUUCAAGCAAAGUAAA
RNA transcript from Oncorhynchus keta (chum salmon), 2344 nucleotides. It is a transcript of the gene named paired mesoderm homeobox protein 1-like, with no coding region annotated. The transcript is spliced from 5 exons. NCBI's taxonomy places the organism in Eukaryota, Metazoa, Chordata, Actinopteri, Salmoniformes, Salmonidae. The record is from RefSeq and is a predicted model, not a curated record.